AGCAAGAUCCUCAAAGACCUUAAGAAAGAAUUUUGUUGCAAUGGUACAGUUGUCCAGGACACAGAACUUGGACAGGUCAUUCAACUCCAGGGUGAUCAGAGGAAGAACGUCUCAAACUUCCUUGUCCAGAAGGAACACAUCAAGAUUCAUGGUUUCUGAGCAACUGUCAGCUCCGUAUCAGAAUCUACAUGCAAAUCAGCUAUAUAUAUUGGUGGUGCAGUAUAUUUAGUUGUGUGCUAGCGCUAGCAGGCGCCACGCUUGCGCGUUCUGAGUAUACACAAAAUCUAGCAUAGCCACCUCUCCGCGUGUGUGUAUGCUUACUACCGUUGUGUUGAAGCUUUGUAAGGAGCACCAUCGCUAGAUGGUUUGUUACCCUCUCCCAUCAAGGUUGAAUAAUAAUAUAUGCUUUCUGAAGCGUGA
Molecule: long non-coding RNA, 420 nt
Organism: Hordeum vulgare subsp. vulgare (domesticated barley)
Lineage: Eukaryota; Viridiplantae; Streptophyta; Magnoliopsida; Poales; Poaceae
Exons: 3
Source: RefSeq, a predicted model, not a curated record